AUUGAACGCUGGCGGCAGGCCUAACACAUGCAAGUCGAGCGGAUGAAGGGAGCUUGCUACUGGAUUCAGCGGCGGACGGGUGAGUAAUGCCUAGGAAUCUGCCUGGUAGUGGGGGAUAACGUCCGGAAACGGGCGCUAAUACCGCAUACGUCCUGAGGGAGAAAGUGGGGGAUCUUCGGACCUCACGCUAUCAGAUGAGCCUAGGUCGGAUUAGCUAGUUGGUGGGGUAAAGGCCUACCAAGGCGACGAUCCGUAACUGGCCUGAGAGGAUGAUCAGUCACACUGGAACUGAGACACGGUCCAGACUCCUACGGGAGGCAGCAGUGGGGAAUAUUGGACAAUGGGCGAAAGCCUGAUCCAGCCAUGCCGCGUGUGUGAAGAAGGUCUUCGGAUUGUAAAGCACUUUAAGUUGGGAGGAAGGGCAGUAAGUUAAUACCUUGCUGUUUUGACGUUACCAACAGAAUAAGCACCGGCUAACUUCGUG
Molecule: ribosomal RNA, 484 nt
Filed under: uncultured bacterium
Lineage: Bacteria
Description: partial 16S ribosomal RNA
Rfam family: Bacterial small subunit ribosomal RNA
Source: RNAcentral